CCUACGGGAGGCAGCAGUGGGGAAUUUUGGACAAUGGGCGCAAGCCUGAUCCGGCCAUGCCGCGUGUGGGAAGAAGGCCUUCGGGUUGUAAACCACUUUUGUCAGGGAAGAAACGGUCUGGACUAAUAAUUUGGACUAAUGACGGUACCUGAAGAAUAAGCACCGGCUAACUACGUGCCAGCAGCCGCGGUAAUACGUAGGGUGCGAGCGUUAAUCGGAAUUACUGGGCGUAAAGCGUGCGCAGGCGGCUAUGCAAGACAGAUGUGAAAUCCCCGGGCUCAACCUGGGAACUGCAUUUGUGACUGCAUGGCUAGAGUACGGUAGAGGGGGAUGGAAUUCCGCGUGUAGCAGUGAAAUGCGUAGAUAUGCGGAGGAACACCGAUGGCGAAGGCAAUCCCCUGGACCUGUACUGACGCUCAUGCACGAAAGCGUGGGGAGCAAACAGGAUUAGAUACCCUGGUAGUCCACGCCCUAAACGAUGUCAACUGGUUGUUGGACGGCUUGCUGUUCAGUAACGAAGCUAACGCGUGAAGUUGACCGCCUGGGGAGUACGGCCGCAAGGUUGAAACGUUAAAGGAAUUGACGG
This 586-nucleotide ribosomal RNA is filed under the name uncultured bacterium. RNAcentral describes it as "bacterial SSU rRNA". It matches the Rfam family "Bacterial small subunit ribosomal RNA", at positions 338 to 916 of the family's 1533-position model. The record is from RNAcentral.